ACAGCCGGCUAAGGGAGAGCAGCCAAGACCCAGGGUCAAGAGGAGAGAAACCGACAGAGGGAAAAGAAACACAAAGAAAUUAAGAGAGAGGGGAAAACUGGCAGCCUAACGCACGGAGAAGUUCAACUUUCCCCGUGGAAAGUCCUUGUAAGAAUGUGACGGUGGUAAGCGAGACGGUGCGUGAUGCUGCAUGACAUCAGCACCAACAAGUUACGCAGCGCUUCUGACAGACUAAGACAAACCGAUACAUCAGGUGGAGAGAGCUCGGCUCACAAGCUUACAAUCGUGAUGAGUUUAUCUACCAAUCAGCCUGUGACAUUACAGCUAAAAGUUAACAAAUAGUUAAAGGUAACGCAUGAUUAGGGGCACAUCUGUAAUAAAUGCCUAAUUAUGUAACAAGAUUCUA
Long non-coding RNA from Spea bombifrons (plains spadefoot toad), 406 nucleotides. RefSeq lists it as uncharacterized. NCBI's taxonomy places the organism in Eukaryota, Metazoa, Chordata, Amphibia, Anura, Pelobatidae. The record is from RefSeq and is a predicted model, not a curated record. The transcript has 2 exons.